AGUGAACGCUGGCGGUAGGCCUAACACAUGCAAGUCGAACGGCAGCACAGUAAGAGCUUGCUCUUACGGGUGGCGAGUGGCGGACGGGUGAGGAAUACAUCGGAAUCUACUUUUUCGUGGGGGAUAACGUAGGGAAACUUACGCUAAUACCGCAUACGACCUACGGGCGAAAGCAGGGGAUCUUCGGACCUUGCGCGAGUGAAUGAGCCGAUGUCGGAUUAGCGAGUUGGCGGGGUAAAGGCCCACCAAGGCGACGAUCCGUAGCUGGUCUGAGAGGAUGAUCAGCCACACUGGAACUGAGACACGGUCCAGACUCCUACGGGAGGCAGCAGUGGGGAAUAUUGGACAAUGGGCGCAAGCCUGAUCCAGCCAUACCGCGUGGGUGAAGAAGGCCUUCGGGUUGUAAAGCCCUUUUGUUGGGAAAGAAAAGCAGCAGGUUAAUACCCCGCUGUUCUGACGGUACCCAAAGAAUAAGCACCGGCUAACUUCGUG
Molecule: ribosomal RNA, 492 nt
Filed under: uncultured bacterium
Lineage: Bacteria
Description: partial 16S ribosomal RNA
Rfam family: Bacterial small subunit ribosomal RNA
Source: RNAcentral